GUCUACAGUCAUACCACCCUGAAUAUGCCUAACCUCAUCUGAUCUUAGAAGUUAAGCAGUGUUGGACCUGGUUAGCACUUGAAUGUGAGACAAAUCAAAUGUCCAUAUAUGUAUGUU
This 117-nucleotide ribosomal RNA is filed under the name Nannospalax galili (Upper Galilee mountains blind mole rat). Lineage: Eukaryota; Metazoa; Chordata; Mammalia; Rodentia; Spalacidae. The record is from RNAcentral.